UUAAUCUAAUAACGGAGACUUGUGUAUGAUAGUAAUGGUGAUAUUUGUAUAA
This 52-nucleotide non-coding RNA is filed under the name Trypanosoma brucei brucei. Lineage: Eukaryota; Euglenozoa; Kinetoplastea; Trypanosomatida; Trypanosomatidae. The record is from RNAcentral.